AUGAUUUACCAGCCGGGGCGGGGGUGGAGGGGCGCUCCCCGCCUCCGCCCCGCGGACCUUGGAGCCGGGGCCUGGCUACGCUGUGGCUUCUCUCCAUCGAAAAUGUUUUCCUUGGGCUCCCAUCUCCCAGCGCUGCCGGGGCUGGCGUGGGGCUGGGCACUGCUGGAUGCGCUCCUGCAAGGGCUGGUGGGUGCCUGCGCCGUCUCGGUGCUCUGCAGCCUCCUAAAGGUUUAUCUCUACAUCCAGUGCGUGAACAACCCGGAGAGGCAGGCAGAGAAGGAGGCGAUCGCGAGGCAGCGGCCGCUGCUGGAGCCGCUGCAUGUGCUGGUGCUGAGCGCUGUGCUGGCCCUGGUGGGCUCCCGAGUGGCUGCGCUGGUGGUGCUGGAGUUCUCCCUGCGCGCCGUCUCCACCAUCCUCUCCCUCGGCAAGGGCACCCACAGCAGCCAGCUGUACGUGCUGUGCCAGUACUCUCUGGGCUGCGGGGUGUCGUGCGGCCUCAGUUUCCUGCUGGAGGGGGCUCCUCACCGCAGCUGGAACCUGCUGCUGGCGGCGGGGCUGGCGGCGCUGCUGGCGCUGCACUCGCGGCGCCUGGCCCGGCACGUCUGCACCUUGUACGAGCUGCACAGCCGGGCUCGCUACUGCGGGGUGUGCAUCCUGCUGCUGGCCUCGGGCCACGGCAUCCCCCGCCUGCUGCGCACCGCCCUGGGGCUCACCUUCGCCGUGGCCGACCUGGCGGCCGUGGAGCUCAUCAACCGCGACUUCCUCUCCACGGGCGAGGCCGUGCGCUUCUGGACCCCGCUGACCAUCUGCUACACCCUGCUGGUGGUGUACAUGCAGGAGGAGUCCCGGCAGAGCACGGGCAGGGGGCCGGUGUUCCGGACCGUGCUGGUGAGGAUGGGCGGCCUCUUCAUCCUCCUCCUCACCGUGGGCCGAUGGAUCGACAUCCUGCACGUCUUGGUGUCUCUGCUGGGGGAGCUCUGGUGCCUGCUCCGCUCCGGGGUGCUGCUGGACUCCUGCUGGAGGCAGGAUUUUGCCCAGCAGCCUCGCUCGGACGCUCUGUCGGGCUCCAGGUCGCAGCAGGAGUCCCGAUGAGCUGCAGGGUGUGACCAGAAACUCGGGGUGGCACCCCCAGAACCCCCCAUCACACAUCCCCCGUGGGGACUAAGGGAAAAAGGGCUUCUGGAAGGCAUCCGACCCCAUCCACGGGGUAGAGGAGGUCGGAGGGAAGACUCACGUUGCCCUGGUUUUUGGGGGGACCCCGUGAGGCUGCAGCACUACUGGGCGAAAUCCAUGGGCAGAGCAAGCUGGGGUCCCAUUGUGCUGGAAAGGCACUUGGGAUGGUGGCGGCGCAGCUUUUUGAGGGAGGUGGGUAAAAUUCCAAAAUUCCACUUUGGGAAGGGAAACUGAGGCACAGAGUGGGGCGACUCUGGCUGGGACAUGCCCCUGUGCCUCAGUUUCCCCCGGGCUGCAGCCCACUGAGCUGUGCCAGGGGGCAACAGGCCCUGUGAAGGUGGGGUGCAGUUUGGGGAAGGGGGGUUCUGGGGAUGGAUCCCCG
Parus major (Great Tit) is the source of this 1555-nucleotide RNA transcript. It is a transcript of the gene named transmembrane protein 82, with no coding region annotated. Lineage: Eukaryota; Metazoa; Chordata; Aves; Passeriformes; Paridae. The record is from RefSeq and is a predicted model, not a curated record. The transcript has 7 exons.